This is a long non-coding RNA of Symphalangus syndactylus (siamang), 3325 nucleotides long. RefSeq lists it as uncharacterized. Lineage: Eukaryota; Metazoa; Chordata; Mammalia; Primates; Hylobatidae. The record is from RefSeq and is a predicted model, not a curated record.
UUUUGAAAUUGUAGUUAGAAGCUACAUACUGUGCCGGACGCGGAGGCUCACGCCUGUAAUCCCAGCACUUUGGGAGGCUGCGGCGGGCGGAUCACGAGGUCAGGAGUUCGGGACCAGCCUGGUCAGCGUGGUGAAACCUCGUCUCUACUAAAAAUACAAAAAUUAGCCUGGCGUGGUGGGGGGCGCCUGUAAUCCCAGCUACUUGGCAGCCUGAGGCAGGGGAAUAGCUUGAAAAGGGAAGGCGGAGGUUGCAGGGAGCCGAGAUCGUGCCACUGUACUCCAGCCUGAGAGAAAGAGCGAAACUCCGUCUGGGCGGGGGGAGAAACUACAUACUGCUCUACUGUGUGCUAGGGAAAAGAAAAAAAGUCACCCUACUGGUGAUAUCCUGCCAAUUCUGGAUUCUCCGCUGAAAUUCUAAUGCUAACUAUGCUUUGAACUCCAGAUCUGAAAGGCAGUGUUGAAGGUAGUAAUAUUCCAUGAAGGAGUGGGGAAUUCUUUUGAAGUCAUCGUUGAUUAUGUUGUAAAAGGAAAACUGGAAAAGUACCAGAGUCAAAUCUGUCAGUAUUUCCUUUUAUGGUGCUUGAUCUUGUGUCUUGCGUAAGUAGACGUUCUUGGCUCAUAAUGAAAACAUACUUUCAUGAUUUUGAAAAUAAUCCUAUACUCCCUUUCUCAUUCAUAAUUUUGAAUAUUUUUUCUUCUAAAAAGACCAACUUUUGGUUUUACUAUUUUUUAUUUCAUUCUCUAUUUUACAUUUAAAAAAAUUUACCUGAUAUAUUCUAUUGUCUUUUUUUAGCUUUUUGAAUUGACUACUUCAUUCACUUUUUCUCUGUCUUUUUUGGUUUCUAAUGAAUGUCGUUAUGACUAUAAAAUUCCCUUUGAGAAUCAUUUUAUCGUUCAUUAUAUCAGAUUAUCAUAGAGGUAAUGUUAAUUUUUCCUAAAUUUUGUAUAAUUUCAGCUUUUAUUUCACAAGUGAAUAUGAUUGGAUAUGCUUUUGUUGUUCAUUUCUAUUUUUUGUUUUAUUUUGUCUUAUACUGUGGCCUGUUUAUUUCUACUUUUGGGGGUUUAUUGAUUGUAUGUGGGGUAUCUGUGUGUGGUCUUACCUAAGAGAUACGAUUUCUGGGCUGGCAUGGUGGCUCAUGCCUGUAAUCCUAGCACUUUGGGAGGCUGAGGCAGGUGGAUCACUUGAGGUCAGGAGUUCGAAACCAGCUUGGCCAACAUGGUGAAACCCCGUCUCUACUAAAAAUACAAAAAAAUUGGCCGGGCACGGUGGCUCACGCUUGUAAGCCCAGCACUUUGGGAGGCCGAGGCGGGCGGAUCACGAGGUCAGGAGAUCGAGACCAUGGUGAAACCCCGUCUCUACUAAAAAUACAAAAAAUUAGCCGGGUGUGGUGGCGGGCGCCUGUAGUCCCAGCUACUCGGGAGGCUGAGGCAGGAGAAUGGCGUGAACCCGGGAGGCGGAGCUUGCAGUGAGCGGAGAUCGCGCCACUGCACUCCAGCCUGGGUGACAGAGCGAGACUCCGUCUCCAAAAAAAAAAAAAAAAGCCAGGCAUGGUGGCACAUGCCUCUAGUCCCAGCUACUCGGGAGGCUGAGGCAGGAGACUUGCUUGAACCCGUGAGGUGGAGGUUGCAGUGAGCCAAGAUCGCACCACUGCACUCCAGCCUGGGCAACAGAGUGAGACUCCAUAUAAAAAAAUAUAUAUAUAUAUAUAUCAUUUUGUUCAUGUUACGUGGGGAUUUGGAAAGAAUGCACUGUAAUAGCAUUAAACCAAGCUUAUUAAUUGUAAUAUGUUGUAUAUUAUCAUUAUAUGUAAGUAUGUAAAAUAUAAUAGCAUUCAGUCAAGCUUAUUAUCAUUCAGCCAUCUUUGUAUUGUAAUGGUUUUUCAUUGCAAGCAACAGACUCUGACUCUAGUUAUCACGAACAAGAAAAAAAGGUCUUCCGUCUGUUGGGAAGAUGUGGAGAAACUUACCGAAUUGAAGAGAAAGCUGAAGAACCAGGUCUGGAAAGGGACAGCAUUCAGGACAGAUCUGGCAAGAACAAAACGAGUGGCUCUUCAGGAUUCCCUGCUGGGAAGCAUGGCAGUGGCCCCUCCAGUCUGACGCCUGCUAUUGUGCUUUGCGUUUUUAUCAUGCUGUCUUGUGAGACUGACUCCCUGUGUGUCUGGUGGUCGAUACAAGUUAUGAUUCCAGGCCGGGUGCGGUGGCUUACGCCAGUAAUCCCAGCACUUUGGGAGGCUGGGGAGGGCGGAUCGCCUGAGGUCAGGAGUUUAAGACCAGCCUGGCCAACAUGGCAAAACCCUGUCUCUACUAAAAAUACAAAAAUCAGCCGAGCGUGGUGGCGCAUUUGUAAUUGCAGCUGCUCGGGAGGCCGAGACAGGAGAAUCGCUUGAACCUGGGAGGUGGAGGUUGCAGUGAGCGGAGAUCACGCCACUGCACUCCAGCCUGGGCGACAGAGCGAGAUUCCGUCUCAGGAAAAAAAAAAAAAAAAAAAAGUUAUGAUUCCAGAAGCCUGGAGUGAGGUGGUCAUUUAGCUUAGUGGCAGAGCAGAACCAGAAAAACUCUUCUCUUAUUUAUUAUUUAAGGCAGAGUUUUACUCUUGUUGCCCAGGCUGGAGUGCAGUGGCGCGAUCUUGGCUUGUGAUCUUGGCUCACUGCAACCUCUGCCUCCCAGGUUCAAGGGAUUCUCCUGCCUCAGCCUCCCAAGUAGCUGGGAUUACAGGCGCGUGCCACCACGCCUGGCUAAUUUUUGUAUUUUUAGUCGAGAUGGGGUUUCACCACGUUAGUCAAGCUGGGGUCGAACUCCUGACCUCAGGUGAUCCACCCGCCCCGGCCUCCCAAAGUGCUGGGAUUACAGGCGUGAGCCACCACGCCCAGUAAAAUCUCCUCUCUUAAAGGGGUGCCUUCCCUCGGGUGGCUGUAAGUCCCCUGGGACCCCGCCGGGAGUUUCCGCUUUCAUUCCCUCCUGUGGGAGGAAGUGCAGUGUCAGGAAUCGCGUCGUAGAGGUGUGGUUAUCUGCAGGCUACGGGAUGGGCUGAAGGGAAGUAGGGACAUCACUUUAGGGGUUUGGGAUGGGCGCUCUGCUGGCAAAACUUACUUUCUGAGGUUCUGUCUCUGGCUUGUGUGGGGUUGUUUUUAAUAUGUUGGGAUUAGAAAUCAAUGUGAUUCCAAGUGUCUUGUACUCAGAAAAUUUUAACUGUCUUGGUUUGUGCUGCAUUCUCCUGGCUUCCCAGCAGUUAUCAGCUUAUUUAUAUAUACACGUUUACAUGCAUAAUAAAUAUAUACGUAUGUAAGUUUAUCUAUAAUAAAUAACAAAUGUAUACAUUUAUAUA